RNAcentral lists this long non-coding RNA (177 nucleotides) under Vulpes vulpes (red fox). RNAcentral's name for it is "lncRNA (ENSVVUG00000022319.1)". The record is from RNAcentral. Lineage: Eukaryota; Metazoa; Chordata; Mammalia; Carnivora; Canidae.
CUGACUCUUUAGGAUUGGGUCUGCUGCUCUAUUCUUAUGGAAAUGACUGAGGAGAGCCUUGGAUGGCACGCAUUAAGAUAUCAAAGUCAUCGCAAGAUGGAAAGAUCGUGGAUCCCUCAAAGUCUUUGCCUAUGACUGAAAAAUAAACAACAUUGUUUUAAGCUACUGUGUUUUAAU